UACGUAGGGACCAAGCGUUGUUCGGAUUUACUGGGCGUAAAGGGCGCGUAGGCGGCCCCGCAAGUCACUUGUGAAAUCUCUGGGCUUAACCCAGAACGGCCAAGUGAAACUGCAGGGCUAGAGUGUAGAAGGGGCAAUCGGAAUUCUUGGUGUAGCGGUGAAAUGCGUAGAUAUCAAGAGGAACACCUGAGGUGAAGACGGGUUGCUGGUCUAACACUGACGCUGAGGCGCGAAAGCCAGGGGAGCAAACGGG
This 253-nucleotide ribosomal RNA is filed under the name uncultured bacterium. RNAcentral describes it as "partial 16S ribosomal RNA". It matches the Rfam family "Bacterial small subunit ribosomal RNA", at positions 524 to 776 of the family's 1533-position model. The record is from RNAcentral.